This 62-nucleotide transfer RNA is filed under the name Lotharella oceanica. The record is from RNAcentral. Lineage: Eukaryota; Cercozoa; Chlorarachniophyceae.
AGAAUUAUUAUCAUUUACUACAAAAGCUCGAAUAAUUGCUAAUUUCUUCGAUAUAAAUUUCA